AGAGUUUGAUCCUGGCUCAGAACGUACGCUGGCGGCACGCCUAAUACAUGCAAGUCGAACGGAGUAGCAAUACUUAGUGGCAGACGGGUGAGUAACAUGUGGGUAUCUUCCCUUUGGUGAGGAAUAACACGAGGAAACUUGUGCUAAUACCUCAUAAGUCUUUACGGAGAAAGCUUUAUGCGCCAAUGGAUGAGCCUGCACUUGAUUAGUUUGUUGGUGGGGUAAUGGCCUACCAAGACUUUGAUCAAUAGCUGAUUUGAGAGGAUGAUCAGCCACAUUGGGACUGAGACACGGCCCAAACUCCUACGGGAGGCAGCAGUAGGGAAUCUUGCACAAUGGAGGAAACUCUGAUGCAGCGAUGCCGCGUGAGUGAAGAAGGCCUUUGGGUUGUAAAGCUCUUUCGUCGGGGAAGAAAAUGACUGUACCCGAAUAAGAAGGUCCGGCUAACUUCGUGCCAGCAGCCGCGGUAAUACGAAGGGACCUAGCGUAGUUCGGAAUUACUGGGCUUAAAGAGUUCGUAGGUGGUUAAAAAAGUUGAUGGUGAAAUCCCAGAGCUUAACUCUGGAACUGCCAUCAAAACUUUUUAGCUAGAGUAUGAUAGAGGAAAGCAGAAUUUCUAGUGUAGAGGUGAAAUUCGUAGAUAUUAGAAAGAAUACCAAUUGCGAAGGCAGUUUUCUGGAUCAUUACUGACACUGAGGAACGAAAGCAUGGGUAGCGAAGAGGAUUAGAUACCCUCGUAGUCCAUGCCGUAAACGAUGUGUGUUAGACGUUGGAAAUUUAUUUUCAGUGUCGCAGCGAAAGCAAUAAACACACCGCCCUGGGGGGAGUACGACCGCAAGGUUUAAAACUCAAAUGAAUUUGACGGGGACCCCGCACAAGUAGUGGCAGCAUGGUGGAUUUAAUUCGAGAUACGCGCAGAACCUACUACACUGACAUGUCGUCGCGACCUUUAGAGAUAAAGGUUUUCCGAUCCGUCGAACGGAAACACAGUGCUGCAUGGUCCUGUCCGUCAGCUCGGUGCUCGAUGGA
RNAcentral lists this ribosomal RNA (1029 nucleotides) under uncultured Pelagibacterales bacterium. RNAcentral's name for it is "bacterial SSU rRNA". It matches the Rfam family "Bacterial small subunit ribosomal RNA", at positions 8 to 1073 of the family's 1533-position model. The record is from RNAcentral. Lineage: Bacteria; Pseudomonadati; Pseudomonadota; Alphaproteobacteria; Candidatus Pelagibacterales.